GCACGCGGGCGUGUGAGUGUGUGCAGUCUAAUUUCCUUCAUCGCUCUGCUUCUCUCUCUACAAUAUAUAACUGACUACCUGAUUGACUGAUAGACUGACAAACAGACAGACUGACUGAGUGACUGAACAAGGCUUUUGUUAUUUGCAUUUCUUUUUCGUUUGAUACUAACGAUUGAACGACUAACUGACUGAUAUUUCGCUCUAAAUGACUAGCUGACUGACUAACUGGCUGACCGACUGACUGACAGACUAUAACAUAUCAAUCAUCUCUUUUUCCAGCCUUGACAACUGAUAAAGUAGUUAUGAAUGUUUUUUUUUUUUUUGCUGCUCUUUAGUACGUGUUUAUUUAAUUAACCCACUAACUGACAAAUUGACUAAUUGACUGACUGACUGACUGAUUGACUGAGUGACUGAAUGACUGGGCCACGAAACUGAACACUUCCUCCUUCAGUGACAUGAUUCAACUGCUGACACUCACAUCUGUUCGUCUGUCUGUAUGUCUAUCUGUGCGUUUGUCUAUCUGUCUGUUUGUUCGUCCGUCCUUCUGUCUCUAGUUUGUAUUGCAUCAGUCACUGUCUGUGUGUCAAACUUUCUUAUAAAUAGAUAGAAGGACACACGUAAAUACAGAGAGAGAGAGAGAGAGAGAGAGAGAGAGAGAGAGAGAGAGAGGCGAGAGAGAGAGAGAGACCUUGCUUACUCACGAAUCCCGCUGAACUCUGGCGGCGCGCUUCGAGUAGUUAUCAAACCUCAGGCAACGUGAAGUCAAAAAAAAAAAAAAAAAAAUCUGGUGGAGUUUGUGUGAGUGUCAGUGUGUGUGUGUGUGUGUGUGUGUGUGUGUGUAACUAAUCUUCAUGUAGCUGAUUGCGUAAAGUGGCGCUGGUGUAACAUUGCUUUUUUCCUGUCCGUUGUCUGCCCUGCUGGGGUCCACGUAACGCUUAUCAGGGCAGGGAGGACGAUUUGUGGCAGUGGGCGAGGGACACCAGCUGCUUGCGAGGCGGCGGCGCACCUCAAGGCACCAGGAAGGAGAGCACCAGCCUUGCUGUAGACGUGUGGCGUGUGCCGCGAGCUACGACAGGAGCACGGCUGGCAGGAGGGGCAGGAGGGGUACUUUUUUGUCAACUUUCCUGCAACGUCACAUCGGCGGCACGCUGAAUCUUGCCCCAUAACAUCAUUGCCGAGAGCUUGCUGUGAUCUCUCUCGAAGGGUUACAUCUGGCACCUGGGACACCAUAUCUGGCACCUCUGCCACUCACUCCUCUUCCCAAUCACCUUAUAUAACCAGGCGAAGGAGGCGACGUGGCGCAGUCUGAUAGCUGGCCUGCCUCAGGGUUUCGAAAGAGCGUGUUCAGGAAUGCCACGAUGUCCUCACUUCCACACCGCCACCAUGACAUGCAAGAGGAAGCGGCUUUCUGAUUGGUCACUCUCCCCGGAAGCUUCCUCGUUAUUGGGUUGCACCGCGUGGGGAGCGAGGAAAGAGUAUAAAAUGACGUGAUGAAGGACGUCAUGGGCAGGACAUCCCGUGGUGCCUCUGCAUGUCCAGCGGAUGUAGAGAGAGAGAGAGAGAGAGAGAGAGAGAGAGAGAGAGAGAGAGAGAGAGAGAGAGAGAGAGAGAGAGAGAGAGAAGUGAAAGGAAUAGCUAAUGAUAUGGGCAAAAGAAAAAAAACACGAUAACAGAUAAAUAAAUAAAAUUAAUGGAUAAAAGAAAGACAAAGCAAAAAAGUUAAGAAAUUCAUUGAAAAAUAGACAAAUGGGGACUCAUGUUCAUAACAAAUAAUCACACAAACAAACAAAUAAACAAAGAAACAAACAAAUAUGAGUGAUGCAGUACAUAAAAAAAAAUUAAAGGAAGGAAAUGAGAGAGAGAGAGAGAGAGAGAGAGAGAGAGAGAGAGAGAGAGAGAGAGAGAGAGAGAGAGAGAGAGAGAGAGAGAGAGAAUGUGCGCACACACGCACACACACACACACACACACACACACACACACACACACACACACACACACACACACACACAAAAGCGCGCGCGCGCGCGCGCUCCUGCACAAGCACACACAGGAAAGGCAAUGCUUAUCUGUUACUCAUAAGGAAAAAAAACGUUUGAGUUGUUACUGUUUCCUUUCCAACGUGACUGUCAAGCACUUGUAUGGGUAUUCUACCUAAGGGGCCUGUAACACUGGUAACGGUGGCAGCAACAACAACAAUGGUAGUUCUAGUAGCAGCAGCAGCAGCAACAGCAGUAGUAGUAGUAGUAAUUAUAGUAGUAGUAGUAGUAGUAGUAGUAGUAGUAGUAGUAGUAGUAGUAGUAGUAGUAGUAGUAAUAGUAAUAGUAGUAAUAGUAGAAAGAGUAGUAGCAACGCAGCAGUAGCAACAGCAGCAGCAGCAGCAGCAACAGCAGCAGUAGCAGUAGCAGUAGCAGUAGUAGUAGUAGUAGUAGUAGUAGUAGUAGUAGUACUAGUAGUAGUAGUAGUAGUUGUUGUUGUUGUUGCUGUUAUUCUAGUAGUAGUAGUAGUAGUAGCAGUAGUAGUAGCAGUAGUGGUAGUAGUAAUAGUAGUAGUAGUAACAGUAGUAGUAGCAGUAGUUGUAGUAAUAGUAGUAGAAGCAGUAGUAGUAGUAGUAGCAGUUGUUGUUGUUGUUAUUAUUGUUGUUUUUGUUGAUGAUGUUGUUGUAAUUAUCGUUACAAUGAUACCAACAACAAUAGUAGUAGUAGUAGUAGUAGUAGUAGUAGUAGUAGUAGUAGUAGUAGUAGUAGUAGUAGUAGUAGUAGUUAGUAGUAGUAGUAGUAGUAGUAGUAGUAGUAGUAGUAGUAGUUGUAGUAGUAGUAGUAGUAGUAGUAAUAGUAGAAAUAGUAGUAGUAGUACCACAAAUGGACCACAAAUGUCCCCAGGUCGGACUGGUCUUCUAGUAUCGAUCCUAAGUGUCUUGAUACCCCCUCAACUUUUCUUCAACUUUUGCAACAUUCGUGGUCUUAGAUCUAAUUUUCAGUCUGUAGAACACCACCUCUCCUCUACUAAAACUCAUCUUCUUUUCCUCACUGAAACACAGGUGUCUGGGGCAACUAACAGUAGCCCCUUUUCUGUUCCCUCCUACUUUCUCUAUCCUCAUUUUCAAUCCAAAGCUGGAUGUUGCGUUUAUGUGCGCAACGACUUAACCUACUCUUGUGCCCACGCUCUUGAAUCUUCCGAGAUUUCCACCAUCUGGAUACGACUACAGAGUCACUCUCAAACUAAAUUUAUCUGUGCUGUAUACGAGUACUUCUCACCUAAUUCCUCUGACUAUAAGAAUUCUUUGACUACUUCCAAAGUGGAGCACAUUCUGACUCUCUUCCCUUCUGCGGAGAUCUCCAUUUUUGGAGACUUCAGUGUUCACCACCAGCUUUUGGCUUUCCUCUCCCUUCACUGACCAUCCUGGUGAACUAGCUCUCAACUUUGCUAUUCUCUACGACCUAGAGCAACUGGUGCAACACCCUCCUCGUAUUCCUGACCGUCUUAGAGAUACGCCCAACAUUCUUGACCUUUUCCUAACCUCUUAUCCUUCUGCCUAUGCUGUUAUUCUCUCUUCUCCAUUGGGCUUCUCUGAUCAUAAUCUCAUCUUGUCUUAUCACUCUAAUCCCUGUGGGGACCUGAGGAGGUAUUCUGCUGAUAUUCCUUAGAAUGACUUCUGCUUCCAUGACAGAGACCCGUCUAUGUGUGCCGAGUGCAUAACAGAGGUGAUAGUGUCUGGUAUGGAGGCGUACAUUACUCACUUUUUUUCUCGACCUAAACCUUCCAAACCUUGGUUUAACACAACCUGUACUCGUGUUAUACAUGAUAGAGGUGGUACUUGAGCCUUCCAUCACCACAAUCUCAUACACUUUGUAUUUGUGCCAGGAACGAUGUGAAGUCCAACAUCCAAACAAGCCCCAACUAACCAAAAACUCCUUUAUUAAUAGAAAGUGUCAAAAUCUUUCAAUAUCUAACUCCCCUCGUGAACUCUGGCAUCUAGCCAAAAAUAUCUCCAAUAACUUUGCUUCUUCUUCUUUCCCUCCUUUAGUUCAACCAAAUGGCACCACUGCUAUCACAUCUAUCUCUAAAGCUGAACUCCUCGCUCAAGCCUUUGCAAAAAAAACUCUACCUUGGACGAUUCAGGGCUUCUUCCUCCCUUUCCUGCACCCUCUGACAACUUCAUGCUACCUAUUAAAAUUCUUUGCAGUGAUGUUUCCCAUGCCUUGCUGGCCUAAACCCUCAGAAGGCUUAUGGACCUGAUGGGGAUCCCUCCUAUUUUUCUCCGAAACUGUGCCUCCGUGCUUGCACCUUGACUAGUCAAACUCUUUCAACUUUAUCUGUCAACAUCUAUCUUUCCUUCUUGCUGGAGGUUUGCCUACAUUCAGCCUGUUCCUAAAAAGGGUGACCGUUCUAAUCUCUCAAACUACGUCCUAUUGCUUUUAUUUCCUGCCUAUCUAAAGUUUUUUAAUCUAUCCUCAACAGGAAGAUUCUUAAAUAUCUAUCACUUCACAACCUUCUAUCUGAUCGCCAGUAUGGGUUCCGUCAAGGCCGCUCUACUGGUGAUCUUCUGGCUUUCCUUACUGAGUGUUGGUCAUCCUCUUUUAGAGAUUUUGGUGAAACUUUUGCUGUUGCCUUGGAUAUAUCAAAAGCUUUUGAUAGUCUGGCACAAAGCUUUGAUUUCCAAACUACUUUCCCACAGUUUCUAUCCUUCUCCCUGUAACUUCACCUCAAGUUUUCUUUUUGUCUAUUCUAUUGCUGCUGUGGUACACGGUCACUGUUCUUUUCCUAAAUCCAUUAACAGUGGUGUUCCUCAGGGUUCUGUCCUGUCACCCACUCUCUUCUUAUUAUUCAUCAAUGACUUUCUAAACCAAAACUUCUUGUCCUAUCCACUUAUGUGCUGAUAAUACCACCCUGCACUUUUCCUCAUCUUUUCAUAGACGUCCAUCCCUUCAGGAAGUAAACAUUUCACGCAGGGAAGCAACAGAACGCUUGGCUUCUGAUCUUUCUAAAAUUUCUGACCGGGGCAGAGCAAACUUGGUAUUGUUUAAUGCCUCAAAAACUCAUUUGCUCCAUCUAUCAACACGACACAACCUUCCAGACAACUAUUCCCUCUUCUUCAGUGACACUCAACUGUCCCCCUCUUCUACACCGAACAUCCUCAGUCUGUCCUUUACUUAUAAUCUGAACUGGAAACUUCACAUCUCAUCUCCAGCUAAACAACAUCUAUAAAGUUAGGCGUUCUGAGUCGUUUCCGCCAGUUUUUCUCACCCCCUCAGCUGCUAACUCUGUACAGGGGCCUUAUCUGUCCAUGCAUGGAUUAUGCUUCACAUGUCUUGGGGGUUCCACUCAUACCGCUCUUCUAGACAGGGUGGAAUCAAAAGCUUUUCGUCUCAUCAACUCCUCUCCUCUAAGUGACUGUCUUCAGCCUCUUUCUCAUCGCGGCUAUUUUGCAUCUCUAGCUGUCUUCUACCGCUAUUUUCAUGCUAACUGCUCUUCUGAUCUUGCUAACUGCAUGCCUCCCCUCCUCCCGAGGCCUCGCUGCACAAGGCUUUCUUCUUUCUCUCACCACUAUUCUAUCCACCUCUCUAAUGCAAGAGCUAAUCAGUAUUCUCAAUCAUUCAUCCCUUUCUCAGGUAAAUUCUGGAAAUCCCUGCCUGCUUCUGUAUUUCCACCUUCCUAUGACUUGAAUUCCUUCAAGAGGGAGAUUUCAAGACACUUAUCCUUCAUUUUUUUAAUACUUCUUUGGAACCUUUUCUGGAACUGGCAUCUCAGUGGUUUUUUUUUGUUGGGGGGGGGAGGAUUUUUGUUGCCCUUGGCCAGUGUCCCUCCUACAUAAAAAAAAAAAAGAGAACUAUCCCAUCUUUAAAGAUACUCAUUUGUUCCCCUCUUCUGCAAUAAAACAUCCUCGGUCUGUCCUUUUCUUAUAAUCUAAACUGUAAACUUCACAUCUCACGUCUAGAUAAAACAGCUUCUUUGAAGUUAGGUGUUCUGAGACGUCUCCGCCAGUUUUCCUCCCCCCAACCCAACUGCUAUCUCUGUACAAGGGCUUUAUCCGCCCAUGUAUGGGGUAUGCUUCACAUGUGUGGGGGGGUUCCACUCAUACCGCUGUUUUAGACAGGAUGGAAUCAAAAGCUUUUCGUCUCAUCAACUCCUUUCCUCUAACUGACUGUCUUCAGCCUCUUUCUCAUCGCCGCAAUGUUGCAUCUCUUGCUAUCUUCUACCGCUAUUUUCAUGCUAAUUCCUCUUCAGCUCUUGCUAACUGCAUGCCUCCCCUCCUCCCGCGGCCUCGCUGCACAAGACUUUCUUCUUUCUCUCAUCCCUAUCCUGUCCACUCCUCUAAUGCAAAAAUUAAGCAAUAUUCUCAAUCAUUCAUCCCUUUCUCUGGUAAACUCUGGAACUCCCUGCCUGCUUUUGUAUUUCCACCUUCCCAUGACUUGAAUUCCUUCAAGUGGGAGGUUUCAAGACAUUUAUCCUUCAAUUUUCGAGCACCGCUUCGGACCCUGUUCGGGGACCGGCAUGUUAGUGUGCUUUUUUUUUUUCAUUAGAUUUUUGUUGCCCUUGGCCGGUGUCCCUCCUACUUAAAAAAAAUAGUAGUAGUAGUAGUAGUAAUAGUAGUAGUAGUAGUAGUAGUAGUAGUAGUAGUAGUAGUAGUGCCAGCAACAGCAUCAGCAACAACAAUGUUAGUAGUAGUAGUAGUAGUAGUAGUAGUAGUAGUAGUAGUAGUAGUAGUAGUAGUAGUAGCAGUAGCAGCAGCAGCAGCAGCAGCAGCAGUAGUAGUAGCAGUAGUAGUAGUAGUACUAGUAGUAGUAGUAGUAGUAGUAGUAGUAGUAGUAGUAGUAGUAGUAGUAUAGUAGUAUGUAGUAGUAGUAGUAGU
Long non-coding RNA from Scylla paramamosain (green mud crab), 6851 nucleotides. RefSeq lists it as uncharacterized. The record is from RefSeq and is a predicted model, not a curated record. NCBI's taxonomy places the organism in Eukaryota, Metazoa, Arthropoda, Malacostraca, Decapoda, Portunidae. The transcript is spliced from 4 exons.